This 99-nucleotide signal recognition particle RNA is filed under the name Treponema sp. RNAcentral's name for it is "signal recognition particle sRNA small type". It matches the Rfam family "Bacterial small signal recognition particle RNA". Rfam says of the family: The signal recognition particle (SRP) is a universally conserved ribonucleoprotein involved in the co-translational targeting of proteins to membranes. Archaeal SRP consists of a 7S RNA and homologues of the eukaryotic SRP19 and SRP54 proteins. The record is from RNAcentral. Lineage: Bacteria; Pseudomonadati; Spirochaetota; Spirochaetia; Treponematales; Treponemataceae. RNAcentral also lists the same sequence under 2 other names.
GUCCAGGUGCUAUGCAAGUAGCCUCUGCAAAACUCCGCCAGAUCGGGAACGAAGCAACGGUAUGCGGACGGAAACUGUGCCGUAGAUUACCUGGGCUCU